AGGGAAACAACCCAGACCGCCAGCUAAGGUCCCAAAGUCAUGGUUAAGUGGGAAACGAUGUGGGAAGGCCCAGACAGCCAGGAUGUUGGCUUAGAAGCAGCCAUCAUUUAAAGAAAGCGUAAUAGCUCACUGGUCGAGUCGGCCUGCGCGGAAGAUGUAACGGGGCUAAACCAUGCACCGAAGCUGCGGCAGCGACACUCAGGUGUUGUUGGGUAGGGGAGCGUUCUGUAAGCCUGUGAAGGUGGCCUGUGAGGGUUGCUGGAGGUAUCAGAAGUGCGAAUGCUGACAUAAGUAACGAUAAAGCGGGUGAAAAGCCCGCUCGCCGGAAGACCAAGGGUUCCUGUCCAACGUUAAUCGGGGCAGGGUGAGUCGACCCCUAAGGCGAGGCCGAAAGGCGUAGUCGAUGGGAAACGGGUUAAUAUUCCCGUACUUGGUGUUACUGCGAAGGGGGGACGGAGAAGGCUAUGUUGGCCGGGCGACGGUUGUCCCGGUUUAAGCGUGUAGGUGUGUGUUCCAGGUAAAUCCGGUUCACUUUAACACUGAGGCGUGACGACGAGGCACUACGGUGCUGAAGCAACAAAUGCCCUGCUUCCAGGAAAAGCCUCUAAGCAUCAGGUAACAUCAAAUCGUACCCCAAACCGACACAGGUGGUCAGGUAGAGAAUACCAAGGCGCUUGAGAGAACUCGGGUGAAGGAACUAGGCAAAAUGGUGCCGUAACUUCGGGAGAAGGCACGCUGACACGUAGGUGAAGUGAUUUACUCAUGGAGCUGAAGUCAGUCGAAGAUACCAGCUGGCUGCAACUGUUUAUUAAAAACACAGCACUGUGCAAACACGAAAGUGGACGUAUACGGUGUGACGCCUGCCCGGUGCCGGAAGGUUAAUUGAUGGGGUCAGCGCAAGCGAAGCUCCUGAUCGAAGCCCCGGUAAACGGCGGCCGUAACUAUAACGGUCCUAAGGUAGCGAAAUUCCUUGUCGGGUAAGUUCCGACCUGCACGAAUGGCGUAAUGAUGGCCAGGCUGUCUCCACCCGAGACUCAGUGAAAUUGAACUCGCUGUGAAGAUGCAGUGUACCCGCGGCAAGACGGAAAGACCCCGUGAACCUUUACUAUAGCUUGACACUGAACAUUGAGCCUUGAUGUGUAGGAUAGGUGGGAGGCUUUGAAGUGUGGACGCCAGUCUGCAUGGAGCCGACCUUGAAAUACCACCCUUUAAUGUUUGAUGUUCUAACGUGGACCCGUUACCCGGGUUGCGGACAGUGUCUGGUGGGUAGUUUGACUGGGGCGGUCUCCUCCUAAAGAGUAACGGAGGAGCACGAAGGUUGGCUAAUCCUGGUCGGACAUCAGGAGGUUAGUGCAAUGGCAUAAGCCAGCUUGACUGCGAGCGUGACGGCGCGAGCAGGUGCGAAAGCAGGUCAUAGUGAUCCGGUGGUUCUGAAUGGAAGGGCCAUCGCUCAACGGAUAAAAGGUACUCCGGGGAUAACAGGCUGAUACCGCCCAAGAGUUCAUAUCGACGGCGGUGUUUGGCACCUCGAUGUCGGCUCAUCACAUCCUGGGGCUGAAGUAGGUCCCAAGGGUAUGGCUGUUCGCCAUUUAAAGUGGUACGCGAGCUGGGUUUAGAACGUCGUGAGACAGUUCGGUCCCUAUCUGCCGUGGGCGCUGGAGAACUGAGGGGGGCUGCUCCUAGUACGAGAGGACCGGAGUGGACGCAUCACUGGUGUUCGGGUUGUCAUGCCAAUGGCACUGCCCGGUAGCUAAAUGCGGAAGAGAUAAGUGCUGAAAGCAUCUAAGCACGAAACUUGCCCCGAGAUGAGUUCUCCCUGAGACUUUAGGUCUCCUGAAGGAACGUUGAAGACGACGACGUUGAUAGGCCGGGUGUGUAAGCGCAGCGAUGCGUUGAGCUAACCGGUACUAAUGAACCGUGAGGCUUAACCUU
Molecule: ribosomal RNA, 1932 nt
Filed under: Salmonella enterica
Lineage: Bacteria; Pseudomonadati; Pseudomonadota; Gammaproteobacteria; Enterobacterales; Enterobacteriaceae
Also listed under: 1 other name
Description: partial 23S ribosomal RNA
Rfam family: Bacterial large subunit ribosomal RNA
Source: RNAcentral